This 409-nucleotide ribosomal RNA is filed under the name Actinomycetes bacterium. Its description in RNAcentral is "Actinobacteria bacterium partial 16S ribosomal RNA". It matches the Rfam family "Bacterial small subunit ribosomal RNA", at positions 355 to 776 of the family's 1533-position model. Lineage: Bacteria; Bacillati; Actinomycetota; Actinomycetes. The record is from RNAcentral.
UGGGGAAUAUUGCACAAUGGGCGGAAGCCUGAUGCAGCGACGCCGCGUGGGGGAUGAAGGCCUUCGGGUUGUAAACUCCUUUCGACAGGGACGAAGCUUUUGUGACGGUACCUGUAUAAGAAGCACCGGUUAACUACGUGCCAGCAGCCGCGGUAAUACGUAGGGUGCGAGCGUUGUCCGGAAUUACUGGGCGUAAAGAGCUCGUAGGUGGUUUGUCGCGUCGUCUGUGAAAUUCCGGGGCUUAACUCCGGGCGUGCAGGGGAUACGGGCUGACUUGAGUGCUGUAGGGGGGACUGGAAUUCCUGGUGUAGCGGUGAAAUGCGAAGAUAUCAGGAGGAACACCAAUGGCGAAGGCAGGUCUCUGGGCAGUAACUGACGCUGAGGAGCGAAAGCAUGGGUAGCAAACAGG